This 253-nucleotide ribosomal RNA is filed under the name uncultured bacterium. Its description in RNAcentral is "partial 16S ribosomal RNA". It matches the Rfam family "Bacterial small subunit ribosomal RNA", at positions 524 to 776 of the family's 1533-position model. The record is from RNAcentral.
UACGUAGGGUGCGAGCGUUGUCCGGAAUUAUUGGGCGUAAAGAGCUCGUAGGCGGUUUGUUGCGUCGGCCGUGAAAACCUGCAGCUUAACUGUGGGCCUGCGGCCGAUACGGGCAGACUUGAGUUCGGUAGGGGAGACUGGAAUUCCUGGUGUAGCGGUGAAAUGCGCAGAUAUCAGGAGGAACACCGGUGGCGAAGGCGGGUCUCUGGGCCGAUACUGACGCUGAGAAGCGAAAGCGUGGGGAGCGAACAGG